This 465-nucleotide ribosomal RNA is filed under the name uncultured bacterium. RNAcentral describes it as "partial 16S ribosomal RNA". It matches the Rfam family "Bacterial small subunit ribosomal RNA", at positions 28 to 507 of the family's 1533-position model. The record is from RNAcentral.
GAUGAACGCUGGCGGCGUGCUUAACACAUGCAAGUCGAACGGAAAGGCUCCUGCUUGCAGGGGUACUCGAGUGGCGAACGGGUGAGUAACACGUGGGUGAUCUGCCCUGCACUUCGGGAUAAGCCUGGGAAACUGGGUCUAAUACCGGAUAGGACGAUGGUUUGGAUGCCAUUGUGGAAAGUUUUUCGGUGUGGGAUGAGCUCGCGGCCUAUCAGCUUGUUGUUGGGGUAAUGGCCUACCAAGGCGUCGACGGGUAGCCGGCCUGGGAGGGUGUACGGCCACAUUGGGACUGAGAUACGGCCCAGACUCCUACGGGAGGCAGCAGGGGGGAAUAUUGCACAAUGGGCGCAAGCCUGAUGCAGAGACGCCGCGUGGGGGAUGACGGCCUUCGGGUUGGAAACUCCUUUCGCUAGGGACGAAGCGCAAGUGACGGUACCUGGAGAAGAAGCACCGGCUAACUACGUG